This 253-nucleotide ribosomal RNA is filed under the name uncultured bacterium. RNAcentral describes it as "partial 16S ribosomal RNA". It matches the Rfam family "Bacterial small subunit ribosomal RNA", at positions 524 to 776 of the family's 1533-position model. The record is from RNAcentral.
UACAGAGGUCUCAAGCGUUGUUCGGAUUCAUUGGUCGUAAAGGGUGCGUAGGCGGCGCGGUAAGUCGGGUGUGAAAUCUUGGAGCUUAACUCCGAAACUGCAUUCGAUACUGCCGUGCUUGAGGACUGGAGAGGAGACUGGAAUUUACGGUGUAGCGGUGAAAUGCGUAGAUAUCGUAAGGAAGACCAGUGGCGAAGGCGGGUCUCUGGACAGUUCCUGACGCUGAGGCACGAAGGUCAGGGGAGCAAACGGG